This 253-nucleotide ribosomal RNA is filed under the name uncultured bacterium. RNAcentral's name for it is "partial 16S ribosomal RNA". It matches the Rfam family "Bacterial small subunit ribosomal RNA", at positions 524 to 776 of the family's 1533-position model. The record is from RNAcentral.
UACAGAGGGUGCAAGCGUUGUUCGGAAUCACUGGGCGUAAAGAGUUCGUAGGCGGACCAAUUAGUAUAGGGUUAAAUCCCGGGGCCUAACCCCGGACCUGCUCUGUAAACGGUUGGUCUAGAGUAUUGGAGAGGAUAGCGGAAUACCUGGUGUAGAGGUGAAAUUCGUAGAUAUCAGGUGGAACACCAGAGGCGAAGGCGGCUAUCUGGCCAAGCACUGACGCUAAAGAACGAAAGCAUGGGGAGCAAACAGG